This is a non-coding RNA of Macaca mulatta (Rhesus monkey), 421 nucleotides long. NCBI's taxonomy places the organism in Eukaryota, Metazoa, Chordata, Mammalia, Primates, Cercopithecidae. The record is from RefSeq and is a predicted model, not a curated record.
AUAGCCAGAUGCUAGUCCAUUUAUAUAUGACAUGGUUUACUUAGCGGUUCACGAAGUUUCUUUUUUAAAUAAUGCAAUGAUGAACAUCUUUUAUGCACACUUGUUUUCUUCAUGUCUGAUCAUUUCCUCAGGCUCUCUAGAACUGCUGUGGUCUGCUUUCAAGUUCUGAGCCUAGCUGCGUGCCGGAAUCACACCAUCUGAGGCUUAAUGAAUCAGCAUCUCCAAGAUUGGCGAAAGUGCUGCUAUCAAAGACAGGUAGAAUGGCUCCUGUCUCUUGCUGCUUUCCUGGCACUUGAGCUAUGCAGUGAUAAUACAAGUGGAAAGAACUCAACAGAAGACAGGGCUGCCAGAUAGAAGAUACCAGGCCGGGUGCAGUGGCUCACACCUGUGAUCCCAGCAAUUUGGGAAGCCAAGUCAGGUG